RNAcentral lists this long non-coding RNA (1176 nucleotides) under Piliocolobus tephrosceles (Ugandan red Colobus). Its description in RNAcentral is "lncRNA (ENSPTEG00000010528.1)". Lineage: Eukaryota; Metazoa; Chordata; Mammalia; Primates; Cercopithecidae. The record is from RNAcentral.
ACGCUCAAAAAAAAAUCUCUAAUAGACGAAUUAGAUGACUAUGACGAUGAAUGUUUUUUAGAUGAUACCAAUUUGAACAUUUCUUACAAUAACAAGAAUAGUCAUAGUAAUAAUAAUCAUAGUAAGAAUAGCCAUAGGAAUAGUAGCCAUAGGAAUAGUAACCAUAGGAAUAGUAACAUUAGUGAUAAUAAUGAUGAGAAUAUAUGUAAUAAUUAUGUUAAUAAAAAAUUAACAAAUCGUUAUAAUGAUGGAAAAGAAAAUUUAGAAGAUUAUAAUAUAACUAAUGAGAGUAAUAAAAAUAAAUCAAUUUUUAUCGAUGAUAUAGAAAGUAUAACAUACAUUGAUAAUAAUAAUAUAAAUAAUAAUGGGAAUGUAAAUGAUAAUAAAUUGAACAUUACUCCUAAUACUAGUAUUGAUAAUAAUAGCCAAUUAAAAGCUAGAAUAAGAGAAUCAUUAUAUAAUAAUAAUCCUAACUUAGAUUAUCAACUUAAACAAUCUAAUUUAAAAUUAGAAGAUGUGUUACAUGAAAAUGAUUAUUCGAUUAAAUUAAGUAAAUUAAAAAGACAUGUAGUUAUAGAAAUAUUUGGUGGUAAAUGUUUUAUAAGAGAAUAUUUAUGUACUGAUUUUUUAAAAAGAGUAAAACAAUGUUGUCAAUUAAAUUAUGUAAAACAUAAAAGUGGUAUAAUAAAUUAUCGUGAUUGUAAACAAUUAUUAGCUGAAAAUAAUAAUAUUGCUAGUAUUGAAGCUCGAUUAAAUACAAUAUUAAUAUCUUUACCUCCAUUAACAUGUAUUAUUUUACAUUCAAUUGUGUUUCUAGUAGUUAAAGAAGAUUUAAUAAGAGAUGAUUUAAUAAAAAGAUUAUGUAACGUUUCUAAAAGAUAUACUGGUUUAUAUCAAAUCGAUGUUAAAACAAUGGAAAAAAAACCUUUCGAAUUUUGUGCUUUAGAAUGUGUUUUCUCUAGUGUUAUCGAACAUUUAAAUGCUGAAAUGAAAAUAUUAAGCACAAAUUUCAAUGAAAUAAAAAUUACGUUUAAAGCUAAAAAGUAUCAAGAUAUAUUGACAAAUUUACAUAAUUUAAAAGAACCAGCUAAUUUUUUAUUAAAUAAAAUUAAUUCUUUUAUUAAAGCUUUUCAUGAAGUUUCAGGAAAUAAUAUAGAUUUAAAAAAAUGGAAUUAA